Molecule: non-coding RNA, 57 nt
Filed under: Ligilactobacillus salivarius
Lineage: Bacteria; Bacillati; Bacillota; Bacilli; Lactobacillales; Lactobacillaceae
Also listed under: 1 other name
Description: salivarius-1 RNA
Rfam family: salivarius-1 RNA
About the family: Lactobacillus salivarius (Firmicutes). Lineage (Lactobacillaceae) is an non-coding RNA (ncRNA) detected by Zasha Weinberg by a bioinformatic analysis on metagenomic dataset.
Source: RNAcentral
GCCUUGUAUCUGCAUGAUUUGAGACAGUCUUACGCUUUUGAGGACGUAGCAAGGCUU